Molecule: long non-coding RNA, 240 nt
Organism: Helianthus annuus (common sunflower)
Lineage: Eukaryota; Viridiplantae; Streptophyta; Magnoliopsida; Asterales; Asteraceae
Exons: 3
Source: RefSeq, a predicted model, not a curated record
AUAGUUUGGACACCAAUGAAAGUAAGGGUUUUGUAUUUGUGGGAUUCAGAAGGAAAGUUGUUGCUCAAUAGGUCAUUGAAGAGCUACAUAACAAACUUUUUAAGGAAAGCUGAAUUAGGGCCUCUCUGUUAAUAUAGUGAUUCUGAAAAAAGUUUUGAUGAAGAGCCAGCAAAACCACAAGCUGCAAAAAAGGUUCGUGUCGUGCUUUUGGGUCGUGUCGGAAAUUCACACCCCUAAAGA